RNAcentral lists this non-coding RNA (30 nucleotides) under Mus musculus (house mouse). Lineage: Eukaryota; Metazoa; Chordata; Mammalia; Rodentia; Muridae. The record is from RNAcentral.
UAUAUGUAGCUAAAACUCUCAUACACAUAU